CAUUAAGAAGCUAUGAACCAGCGUUAGCCUUUUAAGCUAGAGAAAGAGGACCUCUAAACCCUCCUUAAUGA
RNAcentral lists this transfer RNA (71 nucleotides) under Tyrannus savana (Fork-tailed flycatcher). RNAcentral describes it as "tRNA-Lys". Lineage: Eukaryota; Metazoa; Chordata; Aves; Passeriformes; Tyrannidae. The record is from RNAcentral.